Oryctolagus cuniculus (rabbit) is the source of this 575-nucleotide non-coding RNA. NCBI's taxonomy places the organism in Eukaryota, Metazoa, Chordata, Mammalia, Lagomorpha, Leporidae. The record is from RefSeq and is a predicted model, not a curated record.
CAAACAAAGCUGAAGGGUGGGGCUCCUCAUCACCCAGGGGAGGGUAUAUAAAGAGGGCAGGAGACCAGGAUAGACCUAGAGUAAACAAGUACAGCUAAGGAGAUCUGCACAUCCCAGAAAUCUACCACAACUAUGGAAGACUCAAUCAUGAAUACAAUCCCAAGGACUAAAGGGAAGAAGCAAAGGAAGACCACAUGUCAACAAAAGAAGAAAACCAUGAAGGUGAAAGAAACCCUCCACAGGAAGUUGAGAAAAAAAUCUCCCCAAUCAGUCCGCUCCUCUUCAAGAGAAGCAAGGGAAGCAGUAAGACCAACAAUAUUCAUUUGUUUUCACAAACUGAAUGAGACACAAAAUAAACCUCAGGAGAACGGGAACACAGACCAUUGGAAAAUCAACGAGUUCCAUGUGACAUGCUGUGCAGCCCGUAAAUGCCAAGCCUGGGCCAGAGAACUAGUUGCAGCAUCCUCCAAGACAGUGGUGAAGCAAUGGCCAAUUACAUAGGGACCAAAUCUGAGACCAACAGUCUACAGGAAGGUUGGCAACUGAAAUAAAGUCAAGUGGCUGCAGAAAGAAAA